This 372-nucleotide unclassified non-coding RNA is filed under the name uncultured fungus. Its description in RNAcentral is "sequence contains ITS1". The stretch from base 1 to 105 matches the Rfam family "5.8S ribosomal RNA", at positions 50 to 154 of the family's 154-position model. Lineage: Eukaryota; Fungi. The record is from RNAcentral.
GAAAUGCGAUACGUAGUGUGAAUUGCAGAAUUCCGUGAAUCAUCAAGUCUUUGAACGCAUAUUGCACUCGAGGCUUCGGCUGAGAGUAUGGCUGGCUCAGCGUCGAUGUAUCCCUCAUACACCAUUCCCCCCUUGGGGGGAACGUGUGCAUGGAUCUGGCCGUCCCGGUGCAUGUGUCUUAACCAUAUGAGCCGGGUUGGCUGAAGCACAGAGGCUAAGCAAGGACCGUCAUGGGCCGCAUCUAGGUAGGCAGCAUCACUGCUACAUAUUUAGGUGUUGGCUUGGCUCUUGCUCUCAUGCCCUCAAACCAGGAACCUCAUACCUCUUUACAUUUUCGACCUGAGCUCAGGCAAGAACACCCGCUGAACUUAA